GAACGCUGGCGGCGUGGAUAAGACAUGCAAGUCGGACGGGGAAUAUUUUAGCUUGCUUUAAUAUUUCCAGUGGCGAACGGGUGAGUAACACGUGAGUUACCUGCCCCGAAGUGGGGGAUAGCCUCCCGAAAGGGAGAUUAAUACCGCAUGUGAUCGUAAGAUUAAAGGUGGCGUAAGCUGCCGCUUCGGGAUGGGCUCGCGGCCUAUCAGCUUGUUGGUGAGGUAAGGGCUCACCAAGGCGAUGACGGGUAGCUGGUCUGAGAGGAUGAUCAGUCACACUGGAACUGAGACACGGUCCAGACACCUACGGGUGGCAGCAGUCGAGAAUCAUUCACAAUGGGCGCAAGCCUGAUGGUGCGACGCCGCGUGGAGGACGAAGGCCCUAGGGUCGUAAACUCCUGUCAUCAGGGAGUAAGGCGUUUACCAGUAACUGGGUAGGCGAUUGAUAGUACCUGAAGAGGAAGGGACGG
Molecule: ribosomal RNA, 470 nt
Filed under: uncultured Verrucomicrobiota bacterium
Lineage: Bacteria; Pseudomonadati; Verrucomicrobiota
Description: bacterial SSU rRNA
Rfam family: Bacterial small subunit ribosomal RNA
Source: RNAcentral